AUGGAGGAGGGCACGGCCGACGCGGAUGGCGCGGUGGAAGGUGCGGUGGAGGAGGGCCACGGCGCUGCACCGGGCGGCCAUGGUGGGGAGGCGGCGGGUGGUCAAACAGUGGAGGAAGGAGGAGGCUGCACUGUGCAGGGCAAACCCGCGACGCCGGAGGGCCAUGGCCAUUUGGAGGUCUCAGCCUUGCGCGGUCAAGGCGAGCCGCGGAAGGGUGGCCUUCCAUCACCGAAGAAGGGCGACGGCGCUGCAUCGCGGGCGGAGGGCGGCCAAGACGUGGAGGAGGGGCGAGGCAGCGCUGUGCACAGGGGAUAUUUCAUCAAAGUACAAGGGAGGCUCUGUCCAAUUUUCCAAUUAAAAAUGAAGAUGUGCCAAAUAGAUCACAUUGCCAUCCUUUUCUUUUUUACUUCCAGUUAA
This 417-nucleotide ribosomal RNA is filed under the name Triticum aestivum (bread wheat). Its description in RNAcentral is "partial small subunit ribosomal RNA". Lineage: Eukaryota; Viridiplantae; Streptophyta; Magnoliopsida; Poales; Poaceae. The record is from RNAcentral.